RNAcentral lists this signal recognition particle RNA (100 nucleotides) under Acidobacteriota bacterium. Its description in RNAcentral is "Acidobacteria bacterium signal recognition particle sRNA small type". It matches the Rfam family "Bacterial small signal recognition particle RNA". Rfam says of the family: The signal recognition particle (SRP) is a universally conserved ribonucleoprotein involved in the co-translational targeting of proteins to membranes. Archaeal SRP consists of a 7S RNA and homologues of the eukaryotic SRP19 and SRP54 proteins. The record is from RNAcentral. Lineage: Bacteria; Pseudomonadati; Acidobacteriota.
GUUCGGGUCCUGCGCAUCGGCGGAGCAUCGAACCUCGUCAGACCCGGAAGGGAGCAGCGAUAAGGCGCAUCGGCCGAGUGCGCAGUCAAGCCUGAACCCU